AUUGAACGCUGGCGGAAUGCUUUACACAUGCAAGUCGAACGGCAGCACGGGGCAACCUGGUGGCGAGUGGCGAACGGGUGAGUAAUAUAUCGGAACGUGCCCAAUCGUGGGGGAUAACGUAGCGAAAGCUGUGCUAAUACCGCAUACGAUCUACGGAUGAAAGCGGGGGAUCGCAAGACCUCGCGCGGACGGAGCGGCCGAUGGCAGAUUUAGGUAGUUGGUGGGAUAAAAAGCUUACCAAGCCGACGAUCUGUAGCUGGUCUGAGAGGACGACCAGCCACACUGGGACUGAGACACGGCUCAGACUCCUACGGGAGGCAGCAGUGGGGAAUUUUGGACAAUGGGCGCAAGCCUGAUCCAGCCAUGCCGCGUGCAGGAUGAAGGCCUUCGGGUUGUAAACUGCUUUUGUACGGUAACGAAAAAGACUCUCUCUAAUACAGGGGGUGAAUGACGGUACCGUAAGAAUAAGCACCGGCUAACUACGUGCCAGCAGCCGCGGUAAU
Molecule: ribosomal RNA, 503 nt
Filed under: uncultured bacterium
Lineage: Bacteria
Description: bacterial SSU rRNA
Rfam family: Bacterial small subunit ribosomal RNA
Source: RNAcentral